UCCUAAUCUAAACCUAAUCUAAGAAACAAAGAUCCCUUGCCUCAUCUUAUAUGACUAAGACAACGCAUAGAAAUCAUUAUUAUAACGAAUAGACAGAGGCAUUAGACAUGAACAUGAAUCUAGCAAAUUCAAGUCACAAACAAAACAAAAUACAAUGCAUGUUUAAAGGUUCAUAAGACCACCUAGACAAUGUAUAAAAAUGUGAAACUUGCACAUGACAUAAGGUCGAAUGCGAAAAAGGUUUGGGUAAACAUUUAACCCUAAAUCAGAAUGCAAAGAAGUCACACAAG
This 290-nucleotide long non-coding RNA is filed under the name Eucalyptus grandis. RNAcentral describes it as "long non-coding RNA (EGRA_LNC006205)". The record is from RNAcentral. Lineage: Eukaryota; Viridiplantae; Streptophyta; Magnoliopsida; Myrtales; Myrtaceae.